Molecule: ribosomal RNA, 1019 nt
Filed under: Pseudomonas fluorescens
Lineage: Bacteria; Pseudomonadati; Pseudomonadota; Gammaproteobacteria; Pseudomonadales; Pseudomonadaceae
Description: bacterial SSU rRNA
Rfam family: Bacterial small subunit ribosomal RNA
Source: RNAcentral
UGCAGUCGAGCGGAUGAAGGAGCUUGCUCCUGGAUUCAGCGGCGGACGGGUGAGUAAUGCCUAGGAAUCUGCCUGGUAGUGGGGGACAACGUUUCGAAAGGAACGCUAAUACCGCAUACGUCCUACGGGAGAAAGCAGGGGACCUUCGGGCCUUGCGCUAUCAGAUGAGCCUAGGUCGGAUUAGCUAGUUGGUGAGGUAAUGGCUCACCAAGGCGACGAUCCGUAACUGGUCUGAGAGGAUGAUCAGUCACACUGGAACUGAGACACGGUCCAGACUCCUACGGGAGGCAGCAGUGGGGAAUAUUGGACAAUGGGCGAAAGCCUGAUCCAGCCAUGCCGCGUGUGUGAAGAAGGUCUUCGGAUUGUAAAGCACUUUAAGUUGGGAGGAAGGGUUGUAGAUUAAUACUCUGCAAUUUUGACGUUACCGACAGAAUAAGCACCGGCUAACUCUGUGCCAGCAGCCGCGGUAAUACAGAGGGUGCAAGCGUUAAUCGGAAUUACUGGGCGUAAAGCGCGCGUAGGUGGUUCGUUAAGUUGGAUGUGAAAUCCCCGGGCUCAACCUGGGAACUGCAUUCAAAACUGUCGAGCUAGAGUAUGGUAGAGGGUGGUGGAAUUUCCUGUGUAGCGGUGAAAUGCGUAGAUAUAGGAAGGAACACCAGUGGCGAAGGCGACCACCUGGACUGAUACUGACACUGAGGUGCGAAAGCGUGGGGAGCAAACAGGAUUAGAUACCCUGGUAGUCCACGCCGUAAACGAUGUCAACUAGCCGUUGGGAGCCUUGAGCUCUUAGUGGCGCAGCUAACGCAUUAAGUUGACCGCCUGGGGAGUACGGCCGCAAGGUUAAAACUCAAAUGAAUUGACGGGCCCGCACAAGCGGUGGAGCAUGGUGGUUUAAUUCGAAGCAACGCGAAGAACCUUACCAGGCCUUGACAUCCAAUGAACUUUCCAGAAGAUGGAUUGGUGCCUUCGGGAACAUUGAGACAGGUGCUGCAUGGCUGUCGUCAGCUCGUGUCGUGAGA